Long non-coding RNA from Quercus robur (English oak), 1508 nucleotides. RefSeq lists it as uncharacterized. The transcript is spliced from 3 exons. The record is from RefSeq and is a predicted model, not a curated record. Lineage: Eukaryota; Viridiplantae; Streptophyta; Magnoliopsida; Fagales; Fagaceae.
UCAAAACCAUCAGCUACCUUGUCAAAGCAAAAAAACAGCCCCUCAUUCUCCAUAUCAACACUUCAAAAAUCCCAGCAAUAACAAAGAGCAAAAUCACAGCCCUACAUUCAACAUCCUAACAAUAAGAAGCUUACAAACAGACUAGGAAACUCAGGAGAAAUCCAUCAUUUUUACAUCAUCCGGAAACUACAAACAUAGCCAACUCCCAACACUAUCUCCACAACCUCCAAAACAUCAAAAAACAGAACCAAAACAUAGGAAGCUUCCUCCUUUCCUACCAUCAACCCAAAAAAACCCAGCAAAGGUCCCUCAUUUUUGCCAUUUACCCAAUAACUACAACCCACAAUAGUAGUAGCGGCGGCAACAAACAACAACAACCACAGACAACGGCAACGAACAACAACAAAGACCAACAACAAAGAAAAGAGAAAAGAAGACAGAACCAGAAAGCUAAAGCGAAAGCAUUGGAAAGCAGAGCAACCAAGGAGGGAAAAUGGAGAAACUGAAAAGAAAAAAGAGGAUAAAUUAUAUGCAUUUUGCACCAAAUAUGCGUCGUCGAGUGGAAAUGUUUGCGAUAGGGGGAAUAAUAUUGAGCGUGGGCGAAAUCUAGUGCCUUUUGCAUGAGGUGAAGUACUUUGGGAAAAAGAGUUGCACUUGGUUUGCUAUGCUAUGCUACGCAAUGAGGUAAAUCUCAUUAACUUUAUCAAGUCCUUUACCCACUAGUCAGUGCCAAGAAAUCACAUGUUUAGCUAUGACUUUUAAUUUUGCUUGCCUAAAUAAAUUGCUUACAUGCCAUAUAUUCACAUCUAAACUUAAGGAGGUCCAACUUGUGAACUAAGCACAUUCUUUUGAAACCCUUUUAGGCCUCGCAUCCACUUAUGUUUCAACGAGUAGUCAAAUUUGAACUCUCUUACAUACUUAAUUCAAGCCAAUCCCACAUUUAAAUAAAAAGAAACACUAACCCAUUUCUCUUAAGCCUAGUUUCAAAACAUUUGCUUUGCAUACAGUAGCUCUGUUGACCUGGAGAGCGUUGUAGCGACUACAAAUAAUUUCUCUAAAAAAAAGAAGAAGAAAAUACCGGCUGAAUUAAAGAAUAUCUUAUCUCCUCUUUAUUUCUUCUCUCUCUCUCUCUCUCUCCUCAUAAGGAAAAUUAUACAUACAAUUUGAACAAAAAAGAAAACAAAAAAUGCAAUGAAAUUACAAAAAUUGUAUUUCACACAAACUAGGAUAAUCAGAACAAUAAUUUUAAAAAAAAAUCAGCCUUUAUGUCAAUGGUUCAAAAUUACAAUAGAUUCGGACAAAACACAAGAUUGAAAACGCAAUUGAGUGUAAUUCAUUGGCAGUAAGGAAGAGGACAAGUGGUAGUGAAGGCAUGGAAGAUGAAAACGACAGUGAAGGCAUGGAAGACGAAAACGACGCGACUUUCUCACUUGGAGGAGAAAAAUAGCAAUUUUCCUCUCGUUGAUUUGAUCCUCUCUCUCUCUCUCUCUCUCUCUAAUGAUAAGUUU